GUUUUUUCAAAAACAUAGCCCAAAGAUUUAUUUUGGGUAAAUUCUGCCCAGCGUAAUUUAUUAGCGGCCGCAGUACUUUGACUGUGCUAAGGUAGCAUAAUCAAUUGGCUUUUAAUUGUAGUCUGGAAUGAAAGGACUAAUAGGGGUUAGCUGUCUCUAUACUAUUAUUUUGAAUUUAUUUAUUAAGUGAAAAUACUUAUACAAAGAAAAAAGACGAGAAGACCCUUAGAAUUUUAAUAAAAUAUUUAAUAAUUUUUUUUUGUUGGGGCGACAUUGAAACAAUUAAACUUUCAUUAACAAUCAAGACAUUUAGGUUUGAAAGAAUAAAUUACCUUAGGGAUAACAGCAUAAUUAAUUAUUUAGUUUGUGACCUCGAUGUUGGACUAGGAACUAGAAGAUUAACCGUCUAAAUAGAUGUCGUCG
This 423-nucleotide ribosomal RNA is filed under the name Pseudosuccinea columella. Its description in RNAcentral is "partial 16S ribosomal RNA". It matches the Rfam family "Bacterial large subunit ribosomal RNA", at positions 1802 to 2621 of the family's 2925-position model. Lineage: Eukaryota; Metazoa; Mollusca; Gastropoda; Lymnaeidae. The record is from RNAcentral.